GACGGAGGAUGCAAGUGUUAUCCGGAAUCACUGGGCGUAAAGCGUCUGUAGGUGGUUCGAAAAGUCCACUGUUAAAAAUUGAGGCUUAACUUCAAAGAUGCCGUGGAAACUUUCAAACUAGAGUAUGGUAGGGGUAGAGGGAAUUUCCAGUGGAGCGGUGAAAUGCGUAGAUAUUGGAAAGACCACCGAUGGCGAAGGCACUCUACUGGGCCAUUGCUGACACUGAGAGACGAAAGCUAGGGGAGCAAAUGGG
Molecule: ribosomal RNA, 253 nt
Filed under: uncultured bacterium
Lineage: Bacteria
Description: partial 16S ribosomal RNA
Rfam family: Bacterial small subunit ribosomal RNA
Source: RNAcentral